CUUAGUGGCGGACGGGUGAGUAACGCGUGGGGAACCUGCCCUGUACAGGGGGAUAACACUUAGAAAUAGGUGCUAAUACCGCAUAAGCGCACAGUCUCGCAUGAUACAGUGUGAAAAACUCCGGUGGUACAGGAUGGACCCGCGUCUGAUUAGCUGGUUGGCGGGGUAACGGCCCACCAAGGCGACGAUCAGUAGCCGGCCUGAGAGGGUGAACGGCCACAUUGGGACUGAGACACGGCCCAAACUCCUACGGAAGGCAGCAG
Molecule: ribosomal RNA, 263 nt
Filed under: uncultured bacterium
Lineage: Bacteria
Description: partial 16S ribosomal RNA
Rfam family: Bacterial small subunit ribosomal RNA
Source: RNAcentral